GUCAACGGCCCGGGGUUCAACGCAACGUGGCAUGUCCAGACAUCCAAAUAAUAAAAAAAAUGUAAACAUGGAAAUGGAUACAGUUAUCUUUCACAGACACAAAAUAUCGCAAAUGAUAGAUAUAGAGACAUGAUUGAAAUUAUGUGGCAGAUGAACUUUGACUGCGACUGGCUGGGUGGAAGCGCUUUGAAAAGAUGUGAACAGUAUUGAAGCAUUCUCCUCUCAACAUAAAGAGUGGUCAUCAUGGACCCCAAAAGUCACCACUGGACCAAGCCAGGCCCUGGUCGUCCCCCACAGAGACCCAGGGAGAGAGAGGACUACCAUAGGCCUGCUCACCCUCACCAGGGGACUGGAACCGGGCACCACCCACCAGCACCAAAUGUUGGGGACGCUAUCGCUGGGCACUACCCACCACCACCGGACCCCAGGGAGAGGGAGAGGCAGUGGUCCCACCAGGACCCUCGCUACAGGGUCUACCUCACCAGCCCUCCCCCUUCCAGACCACCUCUAGAUUUCUCUCUCAGCUCUUACAGCACUCCCCACUCCAGAACAGCUUAUGACAGACCCCAUUCCACGAUGGGUUACAUCAGACCAGAGCCACAACACUCCAGACCCCACUCAAGGCAAGCAUAUGACUACCCACCCCAGAUUUACUGGGACCAUAGUCAGGACUAUGGCUACUAUGACCAGGGCUAUUACGAAGGACAUUACCCAGAUGCAGGUCAAUGGCCUCCCCAGGAACAGUGGAGAUCAGACCAGUAUCAGGAGAGGAGAUAUGAGCAGGACCAGACUGGCAGUGGCUACCCAGAACAACAAAGGUAUGACCAGCGGAGAGCGAGCUCUCAGCAUGACUUCAGAGGUUCUGAUGAAGAUCGUUCUAAAGCGAAUGGGGAUGCUGGUGGAGAUUUGCCCACUUUGGCUUGCUGUUAUGCCGAAGGUGCUCUGGCCAUCUCCAAGGCCUCAGGCUUGUCCUCCAGUAGCUAUGAGUUGAGCCAGUACAUCAACGGUGCUGAACAGACUGAGCCUGCCCCACAAACCACCUGGAGCAUAGCAGACACAGAGUAUGCAGCUAUUCCCCAGGUGACUGCCCCUCUGAAAUACACUUUGCCCCAUGCUCUGGUCAGCUUUGGUCCAGCUGGACAGUUGAUCCGGGUCAGUCCUGGUCUGGCCAUGCAGGGAGACCCAGGGAAGGUGGAACUACACAGUCUCGAGAUCAUUCUGGGGGAAACACAGGAGCAGCAGGACAUGAGAGAAUUUCCUGGGCCACUGGCUAGGGAAGACCUGCACAAAGUAGAUGCCAUCUCUUUUGCCCACCAGAAGGCAGAAGCCUGCAUGAAAAAUGAAAAGCUACAAGACAAGGGCUCUGCCGCCCUCCUUUGGAAUCUACUGGUACUGCUGUGCAGACAGAAUGGACGUAUCGUUGGUUCAGACAUAGCAGAGCUGCUGAUGAGGAACUCUCAGGGCCAUGGUGGUUUAGGGGGCAGUGAAUCAGAGGCCCCUACACUCAUAGACCUGAGUGAGGGCCCCAGUCCUGAGACAGACCCCUUGGAUGGAGCAGAUCUGUUGACAGGGACAGCCACUGGUGUCUGUACGGCUGAGUCCACAGAGAAGGACAUGCAGGGAUACACCAAGCUUCUCCUGGCUGGACGGAAGAAGGAGGCCCUCGAGUUGGCCAUGAAGAGUGGACUGUGGGGCCACGCCCUGUUCCUGGCCAGCAAGAUGGACAACAGGUCCUAUACCACUGUGUUGAACAGGUUUACAGGCCAGCUAGCUCCCAACGACCCCCUACAGACCCUGUUUCAGAUGCUCUCUGGAAGGAUCCCUGCUGUUUCCACGUGUUGUGGAAGUGACAAAUGGAGAGACUGGGAGCCUCAUCUGGCCGUCAUGCUGUCCAAUGAGACGGGAGAUCCAAUCGGGCACCAGAAGAGCAUCAUUACCAUGGGAGACACGCUAGCCUCCAGAGGGCUGUUACAUGCUGCUCAUAUCUGCUAUCUGACAGCUUAUGUUCCUUUUGGCGUCUACACAGCCAAGAAUGAGAGACUGGUGCUUCUGGGCAACUGCAACAGUCUCCCAUUCAAAGAGUUUGCUCAGAAUUCUGCCAUUCGGUGCACAGAGUUAUUUGAGUACUGCCAGAGACUUGGAGAUAAAUUCUUCUGUAUCCCCCCCUUCCAGGUGUAUAAGUUCCUGUAUGCGUGUCGUCUGCUGGAUGCUGGGCUGGCGUCCCAGGCCUUCCACUACUGUGAGGUGAUAGGGAUGUCUUUACUCAGACUGCAGGAGCCCAGCAUGGUGCUGCUGGGGGAGCUUAUCAAGCUGGCAGAGCGGCUGAAGCAGUGUGAGGGAAUGGGACAGCUCAGUGACACAGCUGACGACAGGCCUGGACAGGAGCCUGACUGGCUACAGCAGCUGAGAUGCAGACAGCAGGGCAUACAGAUGGGGAGCAGUGGUUGCAGUGAUACAUACCAGCCACCAGCAGACAGGAGUGCAUUGGCCCAUGAGGAGAGCAGUGUGUAUUCAGAAUCAGACACCGGUGACCUUUCUGCAAGGGGAGAUGACCAGAGACUGGAUGCUAAAUUCCUCUCCCACAAAGCAGCAGAAGAGCAACAACAACAGCACGUGCAGGCACAGCAGAUCAACACCCAGCCUCCGCUGCCAGUCAUGGCUUCUAACACUCAGCCUGCAGUGCCACUUGUGGUGGGAGGCCAGGACCACAGUUGCCACUACACAGACACUGCCCAGCCUUUGCCUCAGCCUCAGCCUUCACCUCAGCAUCCUACACUGGACUGUCCUCCUUCAGCAAGGGAAGAUAGGGGUCCAUGUGAAUGCUGGCAUGAUGCCGGUGGCAGAGUAUGGUCAGCACUAUGGCCAGGAGUCUGGUUAUGGAGAUCAGCAAGCAUGGCAGCAGGGAGGGCACCAGGCCACCAUCACGCAGGAGGGCAAGGCCUCAGAGCCGGACAGAAUCCAACCAAAACAGAGCACCAAGUCAGGGUGGUUUAGCGGCUGGUUCAAACACAAACCCAAAGAGGAGCAAAGUGAGGCGUCUCAGGAUGCAGACUCAGCUGACCCAGUUCUCACUAUGGAGAUGCCUCCCACUUCCCUAUUUUCUUUCCCUCCCACUACCAACAUCCCUGCAGCCAAUUUUCCUACCCAGCCUGCAUCUACUGGUAUCAACGCCUUUUCUCGGAAAGUGGGUGAAUAACAGGCCGGAAUGCAUUGGACAACACAUAGACUAAAGUUUUUAUGUUUUGCUGCAACCACCCACCAUACAUCAUACACCUGUACACAUACACAAAUCAUUAAUGAUAAUAAAAUAUUUGUGGUGACAAUUGAUAUUGAUAUUUAAUGGAUUACUGCAUGUUGGAACUGCAGAAAUGCAUGAAUAAUGUGCAGAACAGUGUCCAAUACUGUCCAGAGUUGUGGACAGGAGGCUGCAAAUCUCACUUAUCACUGUAUCUAAUUCUCCCGGAAGCGAAUUUGGGCUGGUUUUCUAUUUAUCUUUCACCUACACUUUGAUUAAGGCUCUAUGCUGAAACAUGUUGGGCACUUUACAUUUUUUGAACUGCUCUAUGCCCUGUAGAUACAGUUUUUUUUAAUGUAAAACCCAUCUGGAGUGCCUGGAACUUAGACUCGUCAAACAAUUUUACACUCUUUUGUUGGAUUUUUCCUGUUUUUCAGAUUUUUAAUUCCCCACUCCAGAGCGAUGGUGGAUGUUUUUGUGGGAUACUUGUAGUGCUCCCGAUAUAUUGGUUCCUGUCGGGCUGAUCUUGAACCAGACAUAUUCAUGCUGAAUGACAACUGUAUGCUUGUCUAGGCUAACAUGAAGUGAGGAAUUUUGACUGGUGCUUCUUUGUAAUGAAAUACCCAACAUGCUCUACCAUAUAGUGAUAGUGCUUCCAUUGAUAGUGUUAGUGCUUCGAGUGUUAGUGCCAUUGAGUGAUAGAGAACACCAUUGAGUGAUUGUCUGAACUUUGGUCUGCUGUAGAAUCCUUUCAGUAGUCUUUAAACAGCAGAAUGAGUACAACAGAGAAAUACAAAUGGUUUAUAACAAUG
Molecule: non-coding RNA, 4047 nt
Organism: Salmo salar (Atlantic salmon)
Lineage: Eukaryota; Metazoa; Chordata; Actinopteri; Salmoniformes; Salmonidae
Source: RefSeq, a predicted model, not a curated record